UCCCCAGAGAUGACCCAUCCAUUCUCCUGCCUGGAGCAUCAAAUCUCCUGUCUGGUUGCUGACAUUCUGGAGCUGAUGGUGGGGAGAAGAUUAGUGGUCUCAACAUUCAAUGAGGACUAGCAAUACAGGUAUUAUGUCACCAUUUGGAAUGAUCUUUGAAAGUUUCAAGAUCUCUUUGAAGAGAAGUAAAGACUGAAGAGAGAUUCUGGAGCAAGUUUCCCCAAUUUGUCAUGGAGUGCUAACUAAUUAAGGAGUUGUCACUUUCCUGGCCUUCUCUCAGUGCUGUGCACACUACAGGAUAUAAAUGUGGAUGUGAGGGUAAUCCUUCAUUAUAUAUUCAAGGGAACUGCCAAGUGUUUCCAUUUGUAUUGUUAUCAUUUGAAGAUAAAUCAUUUCAAUUUAUUUUAAUAAAAGGCAAGCAGACAUAUAUCUGUGUUAAGCUUCUUCAUGCCAUUGAUAACCCCCACUUUUAAUCGAUUUUCCUAAUCACUUGCUUUCUGUAUUACUGUGUGAGAAAGCCAAAUUCU
RNAcentral lists this long non-coding RNA (527 nucleotides) under Equus asinus (donkey). Its description in RNAcentral is "lncRNA (ENSEASG00005034880.1)". The record is from RNAcentral. Lineage: Eukaryota; Metazoa; Chordata; Mammalia; Perissodactyla; Equidae.